Molecule: ribosomal RNA, 467 nt
Filed under: uncultured bacterium
Lineage: Bacteria
Description: partial 16S ribosomal RNA
Rfam family: Bacterial small subunit ribosomal RNA
Source: RNAcentral
GAUGAACGCUGGCGGCGUGCUUAACACAUGCAAGUCGAACGGAAAGGCCCAAGCUUGCUUGGGUACUCGAGUGGCGAACGGGUGAGUAACACGUGGGUGAUCUGCCCUGCACUUCGGGAUAAGCCUGGGAAACUGGGUCUAAUACCGGAUAGGACCACUUCUUGGAUGUUGUGGUGGAAAGUUUUUUCGGUGUGGGAUGAGCUCGCGGCCUAUCAGCUUGUUGGUGGGGUAAUGGCCUACCAAGGCGUCGACGGGUAGCCGGCCUGAGAGGGUGUACGGCCACAUUGGGACUGAGAUACGGCCCAGACUCCUACGGGAGGCAGCAGUGGGGAAUAUUGCACAAUGGGCGCAAGCCUGAUGCAGCGACGCCGCGUGGGGGAUGACGGCCUUCUGGUUGUAAACUCCUUUCGCUAGGGACGAAGCGUUUUGUGACGGUACCUGGAGAAGAAGCACCGGCUAACUACGUG